This is a long non-coding RNA of Salvia hispanica, 1150 nucleotides long. RefSeq lists it as uncharacterized. The record is from RefSeq and is a predicted model, not a curated record. NCBI's taxonomy places the organism in Eukaryota, Viridiplantae, Streptophyta, Magnoliopsida, Lamiales, Lamiaceae.
GCCCGUUUUCGGAAACGCGAUAUCGCCGGCACGCCAGCUCACCUCAGCCACGUCAGCAAGUUAGUUAGCAUCAGUUAGGAAUUGAAUUAGCAGAAAAAUAUAUAGCUUAGCUUCCAUUAAUUGUAAUUAUCUUUUAUCUAUUCUUUGUAAAUUGAGAUUAAGAGAUGAGUGCGAGUUGUAAAGUCAGAUGAUUGCUGUAGCCUGUAGAAUUUGAGAUUCCGUUGUUGAUGUUUUACUUUAUCAAAUACUAUUCAACUGUUGAGUUAAACAAAGGCAGAAAGUUGGAGAAUGAGCCUCUGGGAAUCGAAUUCGAGAAAGUGCCAGAAAUAUAUGUCAAGGCUCCAAAUGCCCAGCAGAUGUUCGAGGAAUUGACACUGAGUUAACUCCUGCCAGCUCCCUAAUCAGAUCAUGGAGGCCGCAACUUUUGAUUCUCCCAUCAGAUUUCCUCUUUGCGACAAAGACAAGGUUUCUCUUCACAAGUUCCUCUAAACACUCUUCGGCCACCUCUUCAAAGGUCUUGGUGUUGAUUGGAAAUUUGAGAAAGCCCUCAGCUAUCCAUAAUCCUAUGAGUUUCGAGGCAUAUAUCUCUUGAUCUUCAGGAAAUGAACCCAUGUACAAGAAACAUGGCCUCAAUAACUGAGGUAAUUCCACAUAGCUCAAGGAUAGUAUCUCUUCAAUGUGCUCUUGCUCUGCUGUUUUUGCAGACUUCAACGUCCCUGCAAUCUCCAGCCACGAAGCUGGAUUCUUAGUGACCGUGGAUAAAAUUCCUGCAAUCACCGCGAUAGCGAGGGGCAACCCUUUGCAGCUUCUUGCGAUAUCCUUCCCAAUAUUUUCCAAAUCGGAAGGACAUUCUUGAUUUGCAAACACCUUCUCCUUAAGUAAGCUCCAACUCUGAACUUCAUUCAGUAAACCCAACUCAUAAGGCGUGAUUGAAGGACCAGGAUAAGAAGCCACAUCAUACAACCUUGUGGUUAGCAUGAUACGGCUUCCGUCACCAUUAUCAGGAAACACAUUCCUAACAAUAUCCCAUGCCUCACUUCUCCAGAUGUCAUCCAUCACGACUAAAUAUUUCCUGCCUAUUAAAAUUUGGUACACCUUUAUGUCAGCACUUUCUUCUUUUCCACUUUGGUUGUUGUAUUCCUCCAGGGAC